This 432-nucleotide long non-coding RNA is filed under the name Salmo salar (Atlantic salmon). RNAcentral describes it as "lncRNA (ENSSSAG00000104411.1, ENSSSAG00000116189.1)". The record is from RNAcentral. Lineage: Eukaryota; Metazoa; Chordata; Actinopteri; Salmoniformes; Salmonidae.
CUCUCUCAGUUAUACACAUCAAUAACCAUGAAAAGGUAGACUCUCUCUCUCUCAGUUAUACACAUCAACAACCAUGAAAAGGUAGACUCUCUCUCUCAGUUAUACACAUCAAUAACCAUGAAAAGGUAGACUCUCUCUCUCAGUUAUACACAUCAACAACCAUGAAAAGGUAGACUCUCUCUCUCCCUCAGUUAUACACAUCAAUAACCAUGAAAAGGUAGACUCUCUCUCUCUCAGUUAUACACAUCAAUAACCAUGAAAAGGUAGACUCUCUCUCUCAGUUAUACACAUCAACAACCAUGAAAAGGUAGACUCUCUCUCAGUUAUACACAUCAACAACCAUGAAAAGGUAGACUCUCUCUCUCUCUCAGUUAUACACAUCAAUAACCAUGAAAAGGUAGACUCUCUCUCUCUCAGUUAUACACAUAAACA